This 515-nucleotide ribosomal RNA is filed under the name uncultured bacterium. Its description in RNAcentral is "bacterial SSU rRNA". It matches the Rfam family "Bacterial small subunit ribosomal RNA", at positions 28 to 533 of the family's 1533-position model. The record is from RNAcentral.
GAUGAACGCUAGCGGGAGGCUUAACACAUGCAAGUCGAGGGGCAGCAUAGGGUAGCAAUACUCUGAUGGCGACCGGCAAACGGGUGAGUAACGCGUAUGCAACCUACCCUGUACAGGGGGAUAACCCGGAGAAAUUCGGACUAAUAUCCCGUAAUAAUAUCCGGAGGCAUCUUUGGAUAUUUAAAGUUCCGACGGUACGGGAUGGGCAUGCGUAACAUUAGCUGGUUGGUAAGGUAACGGCUUACCAAGGCUAUGAUGUUUAGGGGUCCUGAGAGGGUGGUCCCCCACACUGGUACUGAGACACGGACCAGACUCCUACGGGAGGCAGCAGUGAGGAAUAUUGGUCAAUGGGCGCAAGCCUGAACCAGCCAUCCCGCGUGCAGGAAGACGGCCCUAUGGGUUGUAAACUGCUUUUCCAGGGAGAGAAACUUACGCACGUGUUGCGUGACUGACGGUACCCUGGGAAUAAGCAUCGGCUAACUCCGUGCCAGCAGCCCGCGGUAAACACGAGAGUA